AAUCAACGCUGGCGGCGUGCCUCAGACAUGCAAGUCGAACGAUUAAAGCUCUCUUCGGAGAGUGUAUAGAGUGGCGCACGGGUGAGUAACACGUAAGUAAUCUACCUUUGAGUGGGGAAUAACAGUCGGAAACGGCUGCUAAUACCGCAUAAUGCAGCGGCAUCGCAAGAUGACAGUUGUUAAAGGAGCAAUCCGCUUAAAGAGGAGCUUGCGGCAGAUUAGCUUGUUGGUAAGGUAACGGCUUACCAAGGCUACGAUCUGUAUCCGGUCUAAGAGGACGGUCGGACACACUGACACUGAAUAACGGGUCAGACUCCUACGGGAGGCAGCAGUCGGGAAUUUUGGGCAAUGGGCGAAAGCCUGACCCAGCAACGCCGCGUGAAGGAUGAAGUAUUUCGGUAUGUAAACUU
Molecule: ribosomal RNA, 410 nt
Filed under: uncultured bacterium
Lineage: Bacteria
Description: bacterial SSU rRNA
Rfam family: Bacterial small subunit ribosomal RNA
Source: RNAcentral